UCCUGCCAGUAGUCAUAUGCUUGUCUCAAAGAUUAAGCCAUGCAUGUCUCAGUUCAGGCCCUAGUACGGUGAAACCGCGAAUGGCUCAUUAAAUCAGCUAUGGUUUAUUGGAUCGUACCCGUUAAAUGGAUAACUGUAAUGACUCUAGAGCUAAUACAUGCUUUGAUGCCCUGACUCUGCUGUUUGCUUGCUUGUCCGCUGCUGUCUAGUAGUGGUGGCAGUAGGCAGUAGGGGAUGGGUGCACUUAUUAGAUCAGAAGCCAACCAAUUGUUCGCAGCACGUGCGCCUGCAUUUGUUGCAUGCAUGCGUGUGUGCGGGUGGGCGUUGAGAGGAGACCGCUUCUGGUGACUCUGGAUAAUUGUUACAGAUCGCAGUCGGCCUUGAGUCGGCGACGGGUCCUUCAAAUGUCUGCCCUAUCAACUGUCGAUGGUAGGUGACCUGCCUACCAUGGUGAUAACGGGUAACGGGGAAUCAGGGUUCGAUUCCGGAGAGGGAGCCUGAGAAACGGCUACCACUUCCAAGGGAGGCAGCAGGCGCGCAAAUUACCCACCCCCGGCACGGGGAGGUGGUGACGAAAAAUACCGAUGCGGGACUCCUUUAAGAGGCUCCGUAAUCGGAAUGAGUGGACUCUAAAUCCUUUCACGAGGAUCUAUUGGAGGGCAAGUCUGGUGCCAGCAGCCGCGGUAACUCCAGCUCCAAUAGCGUAUAUUAAAGUUGCUGCAGUUAAAAAGCUCGUAGUUGGAUCUCGGUAGCAUUGUUGCCUGUUGGUAAUUGAGCGGUCGGUGUGUGGUCAAUGAUGCACGGUCUGGCUGGCACAUUGUCUGCGUGUGUGUGUGUGUGCGUAGUGGAUGCGGCGACGAGUCGGCCAAAUGGUUGGCAGGUUAGUGGGUUGGUUGGUUGACUGACUGACUGACCGACGGACUUGCUCGCUAGGUGGUUGAUGCGUUGUUGGCUUACCAUUGCUGCUGCUGCACGCAUGCAGUGUGUGUGCUUGCGUGGGUUGUGCUGUCGUGGCCAUGAAGAAGCACUGUCGUGUCAAGCCGACAAGGCGAUGGUGUCACCUUUAAGCCAUGUCUGUGGUGUAACAGCCGCAGGUGUGGACGGGUGUUGGGCGGUGCUCUACACACGUUGUGGGGCCUGUCGGCUCGUCUGCAUGCCUUUGGAUGCCCUUGAAUGAGGUGUCUACAGGCGGAUGGCACGUUUACUUUGAACAAAUUUGAGUGCUCAAAUCAGGCCGAUGUUGCCUGAAAAGUUUUGCAUGGAAUAAUGGAAUAGGACUUCGGUUCUAUUUCGUUGGUUUUCGGAUCCGAAGUAAUGAUCAAAAGAGACAGGCGGGGACGUUUGUAUGGCUGCGCUAGAGGUGAAAUUCAUGGACCGUAGCCAGACAAACUAAAGCGAAAGCAUUCGUCAAGCAUGUUUUCAUUGGCCAUGAGCGAAAGUCAGAGGCUCGAAGACGAUCAGAUACCGUCCUAGUUCUGACCAUAAACGAUGCCAACUGACGAUCCGUGGUGGUAGUAAUGUUACCUUCCCCACGGGCAGUCCCCGGGAAACCUUUAAGUGUUUGGGUUCCGGGGGAAGUAUGGUUGCAAAGCUGAAACUUAAAGGAAUUGACGGAAGGGCACCACCAGGAGUGGAGCCUGCGGCUUAAUUUGACUCAACACGGGAAAACUCACCCGGGCCGGACACUAUGAGGAUUGACAGAUUGAGAGCUCUUUCUUGAUUUGGUGGUUGGUGGUGCAUGGCCGUUCUUAGUUGGUGGAGCGAUUUGUCUGGUUAAUUCCGAUAACGAACGAGACUCCAGCCUGCUAAUUAGUGCGUUUGUCCACUGCACCUGCGAUGGUGGCGUUGGAUGACACCGCCUGUCACGCAGGGAUAGGCUCUACUCUCUCGCUAGCGGCGCUCCUCUUCUACUACUUCUUCCGCUUGCUCUUCCUUCUCUUCUUCCGUUGCCGCCGCCGCCGCUGCCAGUGAUGGUGGUGGUGGUGAUGGUGAUGAUGAUGAUGGUGGUAGUAGUGAGUGGAUGAUUGCAGGGGUGAGGCAGCAGCAGCAGGUGUGGAGGGUGUGGCUUGACAUGCGUGGCUGGUUAGUCUGGCGUUGGCCUCCAGGUGUGGCGCGAAUGCCUACUUCUUAGAGGGACAAGCGGGAGAAGCCGCACGAAAUAGAGCAAUAACAGGUCUGUGAUGCCCUUAGAUGUCCGGGGCCGCACGCGCGCUACAAUGACGGUGUCAACGAGUCAGACCUUCUGGCCCGAAAGGGUUGGGCAAACUGGUCAAUCACCGUCGUGACAGGGAUCGGGGCUUGGAAUUGUUCCCCGUGAACGAGGAAUUCCUAGUAAGUGCAAGUCAUAAGCUUGCGCUGAUUACGUCCCUGCCCUUUGUACACACCGCCCGUCGCUACUACCGAUUGAAUGGUUUAGUAAGGUCCUUGGAUUGGCGUCAUUGUGGCGGUGGCUGAGAGAUCAGUUGCAGCCCGACAGGCGCUGAAAAGACGACCGAACUUGAUCAUUUAGAGGAAGUAAAAGUCGUAACAAG
RNAcentral lists this ribosomal RNA (2531 nucleotides) under Taenia hydatigena. RNAcentral describes it as "SSU rRNA". It matches the Rfam family "Eukaryotic small subunit ribosomal RNA". Lineage: Eukaryota; Metazoa; Platyhelminthes; Cestoda; Cyclophyllidea; Taeniidae. The record is from RNAcentral.